RNAcentral lists this long non-coding RNA (2202 nucleotides) under Sus scrofa (pig). Its description in RNAcentral is "lncRNA (ENSSSCG00015073124.1)". Lineage: Eukaryota; Metazoa; Chordata; Mammalia; Artiodactyla; Suidae. The record is from RNAcentral.
AUGUAUUCUUUCCCCCUGUCCCAACAGGAAAACAUGUUUCCAAAUCAUCAAAGCCAAGAGUUUAGGAGCUACACAAUUUUCCCCUGCUUCAUCUUUGUAGAGGGGCUAAGAGGUCCUGCGUGUGACUGUAGGGUCUUGUUCUUGGUUGAACUUGACCGUUACAUUCAAUCCGUUUCAGACCUCUGUGGAACCUCUGGCAGGUACCAGAGCUGGAUCCCCAGCUACUUCUCCAUCUCCACAUCAGCUCCACUCUGAGAACAUGUGGUAUCUUCCAGGACUUUUUCAUGGUGCAUAGGAGUUAAGCAUGCCUUAAGAGCUUUAUGUAAAGUUCUCAUUCUGCCUAAAGACUCCAAAAGAGAGCAGGGGGGGUGUUCUCGCAGGUAUGUCCUCUUCAAGGUAAACCUGUUCAGACAGUUCUUGAUCCAGGACUCAGUGCCAGGUAGUACAUCUCUCCAUCCCCCCUCUCAGUGUUUCUUAUUUUGUGGGGUGGAUACUUACGUUUACAUGGCAGGUGUAAUGCAAACCUUAUGUUCCCAGCUGGUGCCAAAAAUAUUUUUGAUGUUCCUUGGUAUUUUUCCAUUUAAAAAUUGACCUAGCUUGGUGAGGUAUUUAGGAUAGACGAGCUUCAGUCACAGUUCAUAAAGCAGAACUACUACCCACAAGAAGCUACAAAAACAUUUGACCGAGGCCAAUGGAAAGCUUGAUGCAAACAAGAGAAAUAGAUAUAUAUAUACUUUGGCAGGUGAACAAGUGUCUGGGGUCAGCAUUACAGUAUAAAAGUUGUUGCCGGUGCUUUUUUAUUUUCUCAAGUCAUUGGCGAUUCCAGAGAUGCCCAGUUGGUAUAAAGGCACAAUGAACCCCAUGAGAUUUUUCACAUUGUCGGCCCAGUUUUAAAAUGUGCUUAACUGAGUAGUUAAUGUAGGGUGAGUUCCUAGGACUGCAUUAGGCCAAUCAGUCUAAUUAGGUUGCAUACCCACUGGGCAUGGGCUGUGAAUGCUUUACUAAGUUUUUCUUUAAGACUUAGCACAUUUUUGUCUCAAUCAAUUUCUUUUGCACUAAAUCUCACCAAGUGGUAUGCAAAUCAUCUAUUAAAUACUGUAAAAAAAUAAAAGCACAUGAUUUAUGGUACUAAUACUUUCACUUAAUUUGAAAGCUGGCCUCUAAUUUUAUGAAAGUGCUUUGGUACUGUUACAUCAUUUUUUCCCAGCACAGUAAAGGGAAAAAAAAUCUGGUGAUGCAUGUGUUAGAUAAAUGUUAGGCUGCUGGACUCCUGGAGGAUUCUAUAAUUCUAUGUCUAUAUAAAGGGAUUUUUAAAAAUUAUUCUGCGUUAUUCCCACCCAACAUUUCUAGACAGAUUUAUUAGUUGUUCAGUUAUGUAAACAGUAGCUCAAGAUAGCUUUGGAGUUUCCAUUUUUUCAGUAGGCUCAGCUGAUAUUAUCGCUGGUCUGGGAAAACAUUACUUUUUACUUCACUGGUAACUAACUUUAACAACUUUAUAAGAACUAGGGGUUCUCAUCAUGGCUCAGUGGUUAACGAACCCAACUAGGAUCCAUGAGGAUGAGGGUUAGUAUCCCUGGCCUUGCUCACUGGGUUAAGGAUCCGGCAUUGCCGUGAGCUGUGGCGUAGGUCGAAAACAUGGCUUGGAUCCCGAGUUGCUGUGGCUGUGGUCUAGGCUGGCAGCUGUAGCUCUGAUUCAACCCCUAGCCUGGGAACCUACAUAUGCUUCGGAUGGCAGCCCUUAAAAAAAAACAACAAAAAAAAAAUAACUUUAUAAGAACUCACCUUUUUCUAANCCCACUGGGCAUGGGCUGUGAAUGCUUUACUAAGUUUUUCUUUAAGACUUAGCACAUUUUUGUCUCAAUCAAUUUCUUUUGCACUAAAUCUCACCAAGUGGUAUGCAAAUCAUCUAUUAAAUACUGUAAAAAAAUAAAAGCACAUGAUUUAUGGUACUAAUACUUUCACUUAAUUUGAAAGCUGGCCUCUAAUUUUAUGAAAGUGCUUUGGUACUGUUACAUCAUUUUUUCCCAGCACAGUAAAGGGAAAAAAAAUCUGGUGAUGCAUGUGUUAGAUAAAUGUUAGGCUGCUGGACUCCUGGAGGAUUCUAUAAUUCUAUGUCUAUAUAAAGGGAUUUUUAAAAAUUAUUCUGCGUUAUUCCCACCCAACAUUUCUAGACAGAUUUAUUAGUUGUUCAGUUAUGUAAAC